Molecule: small nuclear RNA, 104 nt
Organism: Lemur catta (Ring-tailed lemur)
Lineage: Eukaryota; Metazoa; Chordata; Mammalia; Primates; Lemuridae
Source: RefSeq, a predicted model, not a curated record
GUGCUCACUGGGGCAGCAUAUGUACCAAAAUUGGAACAAUACAGAGAUUAGCAUGGCCCCUGUGCCAGGACGACACACACAUUUGUGAAGUGUUCCAUAUUUAA